UGAGGCCGUUGGGGAGAGUGG
Molecule: microRNA, 21 nt
Filed under: Citrus sinensis (sweet orange)
Lineage: Eukaryota; Viridiplantae; Streptophyta; Magnoliopsida; Sapindales; Rutaceae
Description: csi-miR477d-3p
Gene: csi-miR477d-3p
Source: miRBase by way of RNAcentral